Molecule: transfer RNA, 72 nt
Filed under: Sphaerodactylus townsendi
Lineage: Eukaryota; Metazoa; Chordata; Lepidosauria; Squamata; Sphaerodactylidae
Description: tRNA-Ala
Rfam family: tRNA
About the family: Transfer RNA (tRNA) molecules are approximately 80 nucleotides in length. Their secondary structure includes four short double-helical elements and three loops (D, anti-codon, and T loops).
Source: RNAcentral
GGGGCUGUGGCUCAGUAGUAGAACCUGUGAUUGGCAUGCACAAGGUCCCAGGAUCAAUUCCCGGCAUCUCCA